RNAcentral lists this ribosomal RNA (1482 nucleotides) under Enterococcus durans. RNAcentral describes it as "bacterial SSU rRNA". It matches the Rfam family "Bacterial small subunit ribosomal RNA". Lineage: Bacteria; Bacillati; Bacillota; Bacilli; Lactobacillales; Enterococcaceae. The record is from RNAcentral.
GACGAACGCUGGCGGCGUGCCUAAUACAUGCAAGUCGUACGCUUCUUUUUCCACCGGAGCUUGCUCCACCGGAAAAAGAAGAGUGGCGAACGGGUGAGUAACACGUGGGUAACCUACCCAUCAGAAGGGGAUAACACUUGGAAACAGGUGCUAAUACCGUAUAACAAUCGAAACCGCAUGGUUUUGAUUUGAAAGGCGCUUUCGGGUGUCGCUGAUGGAUGGACCCGCGGUGCAUUAGCUAGUUGGUGAGGUAACGGCUCACCAAGGCUACGAUGCAUAGCCGACCUGAGAGGGUGAUCGGCCACAUUGGGACUGAGACACGGCCCAAACUCCUACGGGAGGCAGCAGUAGGGAAUCUUCGGCAAUGGACGAAAGUCUGACCGAGCAACGCCGCGUGAGUGAAGAAGGUUUUCGGAUCGUAAAACUCUGUUGUUAGAGAAGAACAAGGAUGAGAGUAACUGUUCAUCCCUUGACGGUAUCUAACCAGAAAGCCACGGCUAACUACGUGCCAGCAGCCGCGGUAAUACGUAGGUGGCAAGCGUUGUCCGGAUUUAUUGGGCGUAAAGCGAGCGCAGGCGGUUUCUUAAGUCUGAUGUGAAAGCCCCCGGCUCAACCGGGGAGGGUCAUUGGAAACUGGGAGACUUGAGUGCAGAAGAGGAGAGUGGAAUUCCAUGUGUAGCGGUGAAAUGCGUAGAUAUAUGGAGGAACACCAGUGGCGAAGGCGGCUCUCUGGUCUGUAACUGACGCUGAGGCUCGAAAGCGUGGGGAGCAAACAGGAUUAGAUACCCUGGUAGUCCACGCCGUAAACGAUGAGUGCUAAGUGUUGGAGGGUUUCCGCCCUUCAGUGCUGCAGCUAACGCAUUAAGCACUCCGCCUGGGGAGUACGACCGCAAGGUUGAAACUCAAAGGAAUUGACGGGGGCCCGCACAAGCGGUGGAGCAUGUGGUUUAAUUCGAAGCAACGCGAAGAACCUUACCAGGUCUUGACAUCCUUUGACCACUCUAGAGAUAGAGCUUCCCCUUCGGGGGCAAAGUGACAGGUGGUGCAUGGUUGUCGUCAGCUCGUGUCGUGAGAUGUUGGGUUAAGUCCCGCAACGAGCGCAACCCUUAUUGUUAGUUGCCAUCAUUCAGUUGGGCACUCUAGCAAGACUGCCGGUGACAAACCGGAGGAAGGUGGGGAUGACGUCAAAUCAUCAUGCCCCUUAUGACCUGGGCUACACACGUGCUACAAUGGGAAGUACAACGAGUCGCGAAGUCGCGAGGCUAAGCUAAUCUCUUAAAGUUUCUCUCAGUUCGGAUUGUAGGCUGCAACUCGCCUACAUGAAGCCGGAAUCGCUAGUAAUCGCGGAUCAGCACGCCGCGGUGAAUACGUUCCCGGGCCUUGUACACACCGCCCGUCACACCACGAGAGUUUGUAACACCCGAAGUCGGUGAGGUAACCUUUUGGAGCCAGCCGCCUAAGGUGGGAUAGAUGAUUGGGGUG